This 253-nucleotide ribosomal RNA is filed under the name uncultured bacterium. RNAcentral describes it as "partial 16S ribosomal RNA". It matches the Rfam family "Bacterial small subunit ribosomal RNA", at positions 524 to 776 of the family's 1533-position model. The record is from RNAcentral.
UACGAAGGGGGCUAGCGUUGCUCGGAAUGACUGGGCGUAAAGGGCGCGUAGGCGGAUGGCACAGUCAGAUGUGAAAUUCCUGGGCUUAACCUGGGGGCUGCAUUUGAUACGUGUGAUCUAGAGUGAGGAAGAGGGUUGUGGAAUUCCCAGUGUAGAGGUGAAAUUCGUAGAUAUUGGGAAGAACACCGGUGGCGAAGGCGGCGACCUGGUCCUUAACUGACGCUGAGGCGCGAAAGCGUGGGGAGCAAACAGG